Anas platyrhynchos (mallard) is the source of this 2829-nucleotide non-coding RNA. Lineage: Eukaryota; Metazoa; Chordata; Aves; Anseriformes; Anatidae. The record is from RefSeq and is a predicted model, not a curated record.
CCGGACUGCUCGGGGUUAGGCUGGGCAUCGGUCAGCGGGUGAAUAUACCAUCUCUCUGUAGGUCACUCACUAGAUUUCUCUAGUGAGAGAAUGUAGAGGGACUGCUUGUUACGAUGAGGGGCAAAUGUCAACAGGGGCUCACAAGAUGACAUCUUUCGUACGAAGACUUCUGCCAGGUGAGUUGUCAGUGGGUGGCAGCUUCUGCACAAGGGCUCUCUGUUGUUUACUUGCUUGUUUAGUACACAUUUGCAAUACUGUCUUGGACAGUGAAAUCUAGGUCAAACCUCCAUUUCCUGAAGCUACAUUUCCCUUUCAGCUAGUGAAGUGUUACUUGAGAGCUUUAUCUUGCAGCUACUGUUUGUUUGUUUGUUUGUUUGUUUGUUUUUUUGUUUGUUUGUUUUUUAAUUGAUUUUUUUUCUUUGUUUUGUUUUCCUUCCAGAAUGGAAUCAUACCUUAGCUAUACCCAUGACAAAGCUAUUUUUUCAGACCUGUGUCUCUUCUUCCUAGUCCUUUAACCUUGAUAACCCCAUUUUCAUUCCUUGUAUGAAAAAGUUCUCUGGAAAGGCAAAACGACUACAGUAACUACCUCAGAUGCCCUCCAUCAGGCUAUAAUAGGAGAUGUUUGAAUGUCAUAGCGAAUGUUGUUGUUGCUACAAGACAAGUUUGCCAAAUUCAGGAAACUGUCUUGGUAUCUUACAUCUCUUAUGCCCAGAAAUCCAGCCCAAUUUCACAUUUCCAGAUUGGAACAGGUAGGUGAGGGAGUUCUUUAAGCACUUUGACUUCUGAGUGUCUGUUUCCUUUACAUAUGUUCCCAGUUCACCUCUUCAUGGCAUUUUAGUGGAAGUGUUAUGCAGUUUCUAUUACUUGAUCUAGAUGUCUAGUACAAAAUACACUUCAGAAUGAAAAGACCAUCUGUCAGUGAGAACUAAAGUGUAGGUAUAAUGAUAUUAAUGAAUGCAGCUUAAAGAUGUUCCCAUCUGGUGUAAUUCUGCCUAACUCUAACUCUGUUCUGAAGAUAUAGGAAGUUGUUACAUCAGACUUUUGCACAGGGAGCUACCAGUUGGCUGGAGCACAUUUGUUAAAGUUUGUUCAGCAAUGAAGAUAUUUUAGCCUCCAUCAGGUAGUAGAUGAUGCAUGUAGUGCGUUGUCUUCCUAAUGGCCAGAAAGGUGCUUUGUAUAUAACAACUUCAAAUAAAGUUUUUCAGAAGACAUUCACAUGGGACUUCAGAAAGAGUUCUUCAGUGAUUUUUGUUACAAAUUGCCUGCUUAUGCCCUCAUGCUGUUUAACCUCAUUAUGUCAAAUGGCUGCUGUCUGUCAACAAGGACAAAUUCUUCCCAGUCUCACAGAUGUUAAGUUAAAAUAUUUUUAACAUAUUUUGAAAAAUGCUAGAAGAGAGAAUUGGGCUCUUGAAAACUGAAUAUGGUUGAGUGCUUGUCACAAGUCACCAUGACUUUGUUUUGCUAUAGCUGGUUAGGGAAUAUUUCAAGUGUACUACAGGCAUAGCAGAUUGUGUUAUGAACAUGUUGUUUAAACUGAUUCUUCAUAAAGCAUUUCUCUGUGUUGCCCAUUCAAUGUGGUAAAUAUAUUCUUAUCAUGUCCUGCAGCUUUUUCUCCAUCUAUCAAGCCAAAGGCCCUGAAUCCUUCUCCAGACUAAGACUCCUUAGCCUAUUUAGUUGUUCUUAAUGAAUGUCAUCCAGUAAUCUUGAUUAUCUUUGUUGCCCUUCCCUGUGUUUGUUUCGGGUUCUACUUCUUACUUUUGAGAUGCAAGGAUUAGAAUAAUAUCCAACGGAUAUUAAAUUAAAGAUGUGUCUUUUCACUCAUCUGAGUGUUUGUCGAAUCAUCUUACUCAUCUCCUUUUUUUUUUUUUUUCCUUGGUAACAUCAGAUCUGCAAGUUUUGCUAGGAUAUCAACUGAAACUAAGUUUUUGUCUUUUUUGUUGUUUUGUUUGGUUGGUUGGUUUUGGUUGUUUUAACGUUAAUGUCAAUGUUCUGUUUCAUUUCUAUGCACAUCCUGUUUUGCUAUGAGAAUGCUUAAGAUAAAAGUAGAUUUCUGACUAAAGAGAGAUCAAAAUUGAAACAUUUGCUAUUUGGAUGUUUGUAGAAAGAAAUUAUUUUACAAAGACACAAUUGUUUUGUAUCAAUACAUUUGCAGGGCUUAAUUUCUAAAGAAGAGAAAGAUUAAAUUUCUUUACCAUGAAAGAUACUGUGAGAUGGAGUUGUUGACUCUAGUUUACUCUGCUAAGGCCUACUUUUAUUUUGUAGCAUUUAACAGUAAUCAUACUGUAAUGUGUUUUAGUCUUUACCAAACCAACCUGAUCCAGUUCUCAAAGAUUUUCCUGUAGUAUUUUCAAUUCUUGAUCUGUCAAUUCAUCCACUUUGUAUUUUUCCUUUAUUACAUGUCCAGAAAUAAGUGUAAAAAGUAGGAAUUUUAAGUCAAUACCAGCAAUGUAGGUAACUUGCAAAAUGUUAAAAAAAAAUUGUCAAAAGCAUGUAUGUACUACCAAAGAAAAUUCAGUAUUGCAAAAAAGAUGCCAGAUAAAUGUCAGCCAGGAUAUACACAUAGAUUUCUUGGAAAUUUGUAGUCAUUAUUUUGGAUUAAAACUGCUGAUACAUAUGUACUUGUUAAAAUUAGUCUAUAGCCAUUUUAUUAUACAAAAAUGUUUCGUAAGUCAUAGAGGAGUUUCACAAGAUACAAAACAUUCUUUUAGUGUGUUAUGCAGGCUUACUACAAAAAAAACCAUUAUAGAUCAUGAGGAACAGCUAUUCAGCUGCUUCAGAAAUUAUCUGUCAUAAUACUAAAAAUAAAGCACAAUAGUGUAUACCAAAUCA